GACGAACGCUGGCGGCGUGCUUAACACAUGCAAGUCGAACGGAAAGGCCCUGCUUUUGUGGGGUGCUCGAGUGGCGAACGGGUGAGUAACACGUGAGUAACCUGCCCUUGACUUUGGGAUGACUUCAGGAAACUGGGGCUAAUACCGGAUAGGAGCUCCUGCUGCAUGGUGGGGGUCGGAAAGUUUCGGCGGAUGGGGAUGGACUCGCGGCUUAUCAGCUUGUUGGUGGGGUAGUUGCUUACCAAGGCUUUGACGGGUGGCCGGCCUGAGAGGGUGAACGGCCACAAUGGGACUGAGAUACGGACCAGACUCCUACGGGAGGCAGCAGUGGGGAAUAUUGCACAAUGGGCGGAAGCCUGAUGCAGCAACGCCGCGUGUGGGAUGACGGCCUUCGGGUUGUAAACCGCUUUCGCCUGUGACGAAGCGUGAGUGACGGUAAUGGGUAAAGAAGCACCGGCUAACUACGUG
Molecule: ribosomal RNA, 468 nt
Filed under: uncultured bacterium
Lineage: Bacteria
Description: partial 16S ribosomal RNA
Rfam family: Bacterial small subunit ribosomal RNA
Source: RNAcentral